GAUUUUUCAUUACCAUUCACUGGUGUAGCAACAGGAGUCUUAGGGGUCUUCACUUCCUCCUCUUCCUCAGAGGAAGAGCUGUCUGAUGAGCUGCUCUCUGGCUUUCCCUUGGCUGUGGCAGCUGGUGUAGACUUCGGUGCAGGCGUGGUCUUGACAGCUGCCUUUGUCGUAGCCUCCUCUUCUUCAGAGCUGUCGUCUUCACUGGAGGAAGACUCUGCAGGUUUGGUGACGGGGGUCUUGGCUGUGGAGGCGGGAGUUUUGGGCGUCGCCGGUUUUCCGUUGGCCACUGCAGGCUUGGCUGGAGUCGUCUUUGUAGUUUCGGUCUCUGAGUCUGAGCUGUCCGAGUCUGAGCUGCUGCUUUCAGCCUUCUUAGCACUGGCUGGGGUUACAGCAGGCUUUGGGAGAGCAGCAGACUUUCCUUUCUUCUCCUCUUUCUCCUCCUCCUCUUCCUCGCUGGAGCUGUCAGAGUCGGAGCUGUCGGCCUGGGCGGUGGGUUUAGCAGCAGCAGCAGCAGGUGCAGCUUUGGUCGUAGGAGUGGCUGCAGCAGGUUUAGCAGUUUUAGCCGCGGGAGCCUCAUCCUCAGAGUCUGAACUGUCACUGUCUGAAUCUGAGCUCUCUGCUGGUUUAGCUGCUGGUUUGACUGGGGCUGGCACAGUGGCUGGCUUGGCAGCGGGAGUGGCUUUCUUAGGAGGUUCCUCAUCUUCAGAGGAGCUGUCAGAGUCUGAGCUGCUCUCAGCUGCCUUGGCUGCAGACUUAGGCGUGGCCGCGGGCUUGGGCGUGGCUGUGGCCUUUGGUGUGGCCGCGGGCUUGGGUGUGGUCACGGGCUUGCUGGGAGCCUCAUCUUCUGAACUGUCAGAAUCUAUGAGGCAAACAAUACAAAUAUUAUUAAUAUAUUUGAAUAUUUGCAUUAAUACAAUUAUAUUCCGCUGUUGGAAAAAGACCACUAAUUUUAUAUAUUUCAACAGCCCUUCCCUAACAAAGGUUCUGGAUCAGUCCUGGGCAGUGUUUUCAGCCGUUAGGAUUUCCACAUCUGUCCCACAUCAUCAGUAA
Molecule: long non-coding RNA, 1050 nt
Filed under: Astyanax mexicanus (Mexican tetra)
Lineage: Eukaryota; Metazoa; Chordata; Actinopteri; Characiformes; Acestrorhamphidae
Description: lncRNA (ENSAMXG00005016719.1)
Source: RNAcentral